RNAcentral lists this ribosomal RNA (542 nucleotides) under Chaetomium subaffine. Its description in RNAcentral is "partial 28S ribosormal RNA". It matches the Rfam family "Eukaryotic large subunit ribosomal RNA", at positions 81 to 649 of the family's 3401-position model. The record is from RNAcentral. Lineage: Eukaryota; Fungi; Ascomycota; Sordariomycetes; Sordariales; Chaetomiaceae.
UAGUAACGGCGAGUGAAGCGGCAACAGCUCAAAUUUGAAAUCUGGCUUCGGCCCGAGUUGUAAUUUGCAGAGGAAGCUUUAGGCGCGGCACCUUCUGAGUCCCCUGGAACGGGGCGCCAUAGAGGGUGAGAGCCCCGUAUAGUUGGAUGCCUAGCCUGUGUAAAGCUCCUUCGACGAGUCGAGUAGUUUGGGAAUGCUGCUCAAAAUGGGAGGUAAAUUUCUUCUAAAGCUAAAUACCGGCCAGAGACCGAUAGCGCACAAGUAGAGUGAUCGAAAGAUGAAAAGCACUUUGAAAAGAGGGUUAAAUAGCACGUGAAAUUGUUGAAAGGGAAGCGCUUGUGACCAGACUUGCGCCGGGCAGAUCAUCCGGUGUUCUCACCGGUGCACUCUGCCCGGCUCAGGCCAGCAUCGGUUCUCGCGGGGGGAUAAAGGCCCUGGGAACGUAGCUCCUCCGGGAGUGUUAUAGCCCGGGGCGUAAUGCCCUCGCGGGGACCGAGGUUCGCGCAUCUGCAAGGAUGCUGGCGUAAUGGUCAUCAGCGACC